Long non-coding RNA from Daphnia carinata, 1273 nucleotides. RefSeq lists it as uncharacterized. Lineage: Eukaryota; Metazoa; Arthropoda; Branchiopoda; Diplostraca; Daphniidae. The transcript has 7 exons. The record is from RefSeq and is a predicted model, not a curated record.
CGUACAGUACAUCGACGUGUACUGGCGCCUUUUUUUGUUGUUGUCAGUUUGCCGUAAGUUCAUGAACUUGUACAGAAUGUAUUCAUAUUAUAUCAAUUUCAGCUUGCAAAGUCUGCAUUCAUGGACAUGACUGUGCAUGAACUUAAAAGUACCUUGUCGGGAUACAUCAUGAUGGAUCAGUAAAACUUUAUGUGGAUCGAGCCACCCGGGUCGAUGGCGUCUUCGAGAACUUGCCGAUGACGAUGGAAUAAACAAAUAGCUGUGGUACGAGAGGCUCCACUCCAGUGUGUCUCUUUCACAGCUCUAUUUGCUAAACCCUCGAGCACGACUGGAGACGAAUUGGUUCAUGUUGGUCAGACUCUGUUACGACGGCCAAUGUUGUUUCAGUGACUUGUACAUCAUCACCCGGAGAGUGUCGAAAUGGCAAUGGAGCGCUCAUUCGUGACGAUGUAUCAUGUUACAUUGAUCCCUUGUGCCGUUGGGUUAGGGUCCUUGAUCGUUUAAUCGACCCAAUACGAUCCGGAUAUUACCGGCUGAAGCGCAAGCUACAGCUUUCAAAGUCACGUUAUCGAUGAUGGUGAAACUUAAGUUCACUGGUGUCUCUUCCCUCCCAUCGCCCUAGUUUGACAUUUUAUUUGUCUCCGUUUUUCACGAAGGCUUUGCAGUUGCCCUUCCACGUCAUUCUCAUGGCCACGAGCGGGAACAGCGCAGUUUUUUUUUUUGUUUUUUUUUUUUUUAACGGUGAGAUGAUGCUUUGUCACGGGAUCCAGAUGCCCUCCCGGCGGGAGAAGCCCACCAUUUCAAAACUGACUGAUGAUGAGGAUACUUUCGGACAAUGUCACGCGCUAAUUCAGCCUUCGACUACUACUAUGCUGCUCCAUCCACGGUCCAGUGUGUGACAUUUAUCCUUGUCCUUAUUUUUUCGUCAAUCAUUUUAUUUGCCUUUCCUUGUAGGCUUACGCUAUUGAAGUGGAAUCAACCGGUUGCGUUUUCUCAAACUAGAAUAAGAUUUUUUUGGUCUAGUUUAAACGGUUCGGGAAAUUGAUAAUAGGAAAAAGAUGAUGCAGUAGCAAGGCGCAAUGACGUGAGCAGAUCGUGACCAAGCACGUGGCAAAUAGCGGCAGCAGAAGAUGAAGUGUCAUAAGGUGACAAUUCUCCAUUUCCGUUGACGUCAAACUUCUAAUUGUUAUUUACAAAUUGGGUACAACUUGGUGCAAGAAAAUUCUAACUUGGAUUAGCGUCUUAUUGAUAAGCUCAACGUAACGAAUCGACC